GCUUAGCCCUAAACCUAAAUAAUUAAAUAACAAAAUUAUUUGCCAGAGAACUACUAGCAACAGCUUAAAACUCAAAGGACUUGGCGGUACUUUAUAUCCAUCUAGAGGAGCCUGUUCUAUAAUCGAUAAACCCCGCUAUACCUCACCAUCUCUUGCUAAUUCAGCCUAUAUACCGCCAUCUUCAGCAAACCCUAAAAAGGCACUUAAGUAAGCACAAGAAUAACCAUAAAAACGUUAGGUCAAGGUGUAGCCAAUGAGAUGGGAAGAAAUGGGCUACAUUUUCUUUACUAAGAACAAACGAACCCCUUUAUGAAACUAAAGGGCGAAGGAGGAUUUAGUAGUAAAUUAAGAAUAGAGAGCUUAAUUG
The sequence is a ribosomal RNA, 367 nucleotides long. It matches the Rfam family "Bacterial small subunit ribosomal RNA", at positions 794 to 1364 of the family's 1533-position model.